Long non-coding RNA from Manis pentadactyla (Chinese pangolin), 709 nucleotides. RefSeq lists it as uncharacterized. The record is from RefSeq and is a predicted model, not a curated record. NCBI's taxonomy places the organism in Eukaryota, Metazoa, Chordata, Mammalia, Pholidota, Manidae. The transcript is spliced from 3 exons.
GCACAGACAGGGGCCUUAGCGGAGCUGGGCCUGAAUACUGUUUUUGUCACUAAGUAAUCAGAUGUUGGGCCCUGGCCAGUGACCUGCCCUCUGGGACAGGCCACUCAUCUGUCAACAUGGAAGCGAUAACCCCGCCAGGGCUCGGGGCGGCUGGGAGUGCUAACCCCCAGGGACUGGUGGGUGCCAGUGGUCUUGCCCUCUGCCAACACUUGCCAAGUUCAGAAUGUGCCCGGCUCCAGGAUUCUGAGGAUGAAGAGCUAGCUUAAUGGGAAGCCAGAUGUGGCAACAGGCGGUGGGAGCCAGGUAGAAAUAUUCACAGGGAAGGACCAAAAAGACCUGGGGUUUUGUCAGAACAAAAAUAUGAGAUUGUCUACAACAUAAAACCAGCUGCAAAUUCUUUGGGACUGUUGCCUGGGCCCCAUAGUGCCGGAGCUGAGACCCCAGGGCUUGAAAAAGCCCAGUCCGGUGCUGACGGGAGCGGAAGCCAAGCUGGGGCUGCACAUGGGUGCAGAACACCUGAGCAGACUCCAGAUUUCUAAUGAAGAAGACCUGUGCUUCUGUGGCAGAUACCCUGAAACAUUUUAAAGAAAACAGCCAUUCCCCAGUAAUCGUGAAGAUGCAUGCCCAGCAGCCUUUCAUUUGGCAUUUAUUCAACAUGCUUGGCUGAAUAACGGCACCCUCAGAGAGGAGUGCAUGCCUAUCCCAGGAC